GGGCCUUUGUGAAUUAAGUUGUCAUACAACUUAAGUCAAUGGGCUUGACGUUCGAAGCCUAUUGGGCCUUAAGGUCCAAAACUAUCCCGAGGUCUUUAACGAACUUAUUCCUUUAAUUAAUUAACAUAUUAAUUAAUCCUUGCCAUAAAUAAUUAAACCAUUUAAUUAUUCUUACUCAUCUCCGUUGUUUCUUCAAUCUCCACCUUACACGGUGUACGAUCCAUUAGGUUCCUUUUAGCGAGGC
This 244-nucleotide long non-coding RNA is filed under the name Malus domestica (apple). RNAcentral describes it as "long non-coding RNA (MDOM_LNC019977)". The record is from RNAcentral. Lineage: Eukaryota; Viridiplantae; Streptophyta; Magnoliopsida; Rosales; Rosaceae.